RNAcentral lists this ribosomal RNA (402 nucleotides) under uncultured bacterium. RNAcentral's name for it is "bacterial SSU rRNA". It matches the Rfam family "Bacterial small subunit ribosomal RNA", at positions 356 to 773 of the family's 1533-position model. The record is from RNAcentral.
GGGGAAUAUUGGGCAAUGGGCGCAAGCCUGACCCAGCAACGCCGCGUGAGGGAAGAAGGUUUUCGGAUUGUAAACCUCUGUCGCAAGGGACGAAGAAGUGACGGUACCUUGUGAGGAAGCCCCGGCUAACUACGUGCCAGCAGCCGCGGUAAUACGUAGGGGGCGAGCGUUGUCCGGAAUUACUGGGCGUAAAGGGUGCGUAGGCGGCUAAUUAAGUUGGAUGUGAAAUACCCGAGCUUAACUUGGGGGGUGCAUUCAAAACUGGUUGGCUAGAGUUCAGGAGAGGGAAGCGGAAUUCCUAGUGUAGCGGUGAAAUGCGUAGAUAUUAGGAGGAACACCAGUGGCGAAGGCGGCUUUCUGGACUGACACUGACGCUGAUGCACGAAAGCGUGGGGAGCAAAC